Panicum virgatum (switchgrass) is the source of this 1859-nucleotide long non-coding RNA. RefSeq lists it as uncharacterized. The record is from RefSeq and is a predicted model, not a curated record. NCBI's taxonomy places the organism in Eukaryota, Viridiplantae, Streptophyta, Magnoliopsida, Poales, Poaceae. The transcript has 5 exons.
CUCCCCCUUCGUCUUUGUGCGUCGCCCGUCAACCGCGUCCCUCGCCCAAUCCCUAUCCCCAUUCAACCGCGUCGCUCCCCCAAAACCCGGCCCCAAAUCACCGCCGUGCCGAAUCCCGGCCGCGCCCUAGCGCCUCGCCCCUGCCCCAAAUCUCCGCCGCGCCGCCAGCGCUGCGCCGUCGUUGCUCCCUUCGUCGGCCUCCUUCGACGGCGCCCGGACGUCACCAGCUCCCUCCAUCACUCUCACACCCCGCCGUCGCACACUUGGUGCUCGUCGUCCUGCCGAAUCGGCCGGGCUUUGCUAGGCCUCCCUGCCCAUCCCCUACCCUCGUGAAUGAGGGAUUGCAGGACAGAAGCCGCGUGCCUCCGCAUCAUCCACACCUCGAUGACCUCGCCCCCACACGUCGUCCUCCUCGGCGCUGCUUGGCAUGAGAUGCAAGCGACCGUGGCCUUAGGAUUUUGGGGGACGUACAGACGUUCGCCUCCAAUCCUAAUGAAGCAUUCGCUGACCACUGCAUACCAGAAUGGACAUUUUAAAUCAGCAUGUUGAAUGUGCGGAUAUAUCUACACACAAGCUUUGGUAUACUUGUUCUCUGCUGCUAUUCUAAAUUAAUUCCAUAUUUCUUCUCUUAUCUAUACAACUAAAAAGAGGCUAAGGGUGAUGUUUUUCUUCGUCUUUCAUCCCCCGUCCGAGCGGCGCCUCAUGGUCCUUCGUCGUCCGUCCUCGGGGUAACGAGGAGCGUCUGAUCGUCUCCCGUGCAAUCUGAGCGCUCCCACACCCUCACCCGACCAGCCUCCCACACAGCACGCCGCCUUCCCCAUCGGCUCUGCCCGACGCCCUCCCCCUCACAAAGGAAGAUGCUGCUGCUCGGGAGGAAAGGAGUGCAGCCACUUAACUUGCUGGCAAAAUGAUCGAGUCUUUGAAAUUCCAGUAUGUUCUGGUUAAUCUCCCCCCAGUUUUUGUCUUAGAAGAUUUUUGCAAGUCUUGGUUAACUUCCCAAGACCUCAUUUUCUUCAGUUAUCGCAAGUUCAUGUUUAUGAAGAAAAAGAACCCAUUUAAAUAUUCUCAAUAUUUCAGAACUUGGUUACAUACAAGGUUAGUUUUAACCAAAUUCAUGUGAAUAAGCUUCUGUGAAUUCUUUCUCCUUAUAGUGCCAAUACGAUUGUUGCAUGUGUAUUUUACGUUUUCCCACUGAUACUACGUGGUAUUAGUACUGGUUAUAAGAGAUUGUCUCGGAAAAUGACAUUAAGGAUGCUACCUAUAUUCAGUAAGUGACUAUGUACUUUUCUGAGUUCAGAGCGCAGGUCCAGAUAAGAUGCAAGGUACUAUUCAAAUUGAUAGGGUACUUUCAUAGUGGACUUUGUUACUAGUUACAUGGCAAAAGAUAAUGUGAUGAUUCUUAUUACCAGGCAGCAGCACUGCUCCGCGUAUUGAGGGAAUUUUUGCAGCUGGGGUACAAUGUUCUCCGCUUUCUGACUGAAUCCCUUGCAGAGAUUCUGAUGUGGUGCCCAUGAGUGAUAGCCACAACAAUAUGAUAGCUUAUGGGUUCAACGAUGUAACGUUUGGAGGCGACCUCACAGAAGCCAUGAUAUCCUUAAGACCGUUGAAAUUCACACGCUAUGAGUGCUGAAUUCAGGAAGGCCUGUUGCAGCAAUAUUUUAUUUGAUGAAGAUUAUGUAUGUAUAUGGAGUAGGUUAUAUCCUCAACUGCGCUAUACAUAUCCUGCAUUGAGUGUACGUGUUUAACUCUUCUCUGAAACGUUAUUUGCUUGUAAUAGUUCACUGUGGAGAAUUCACCAAGGGGAAUCUAUUUUGUUUACUGUAUUUUUUAAAUAAAAAGCUAUCACAUUGCACUUUGUA